RNAcentral lists this ribosomal RNA (450 nucleotides) under uncultured bacterium. RNAcentral's name for it is "bacterial SSU rRNA". It matches the Rfam family "Bacterial small subunit ribosomal RNA", at positions 354 to 796 of the family's 1533-position model. The record is from RNAcentral.
GUGGGGAAUUUUGGACAAUGGGGGCAACCCUGAUCCAGCCAUGCCGCGUGCGGGAAGAAGGCCUUCGGGUUGUAAACCGCUUUUAGUCGGGAAGAAAAGGUUACUCCGAAUAAGGGUGACUCUUGACGGUACCGGCGGAAUAAGCACCGGCUAACUACGUGCCAGCAGCCGCGGUAAUACGUAGGGUGCGAGCGUUAAUCGGAAUUACUGGGCGUAAAGCGUGCGCAGGCGGUUCGUUAAGUUCGAUGUGAAAGCCCCGGGCUCAACCUGGGAAUGGCAUUGAAAACUGGCGGGCUUGAGUCUGGCAGAGGGGGGUGGAAUUCCGCGUGUAGCAGUGAAAUGCGUAGAGAUGCGGAGGAACACCGAUGGCGAAGGCAGCCCCCUGGGCCAAGACUGACGCUCAGGCACGAAAGCGUGGGGAGCAAACAGGAUUAGAAACCCCGGUAGUCC